RNAcentral lists this ribosomal RNA (468 nucleotides) under uncultured bacterium. Its description in RNAcentral is "partial 16S ribosomal RNA". It matches the Rfam family "Bacterial small subunit ribosomal RNA", at positions 28 to 507 of the family's 1533-position model. The record is from RNAcentral.
GACGAACGCUGGCGGCGUGCUUAACACAUGCAAGUCGAACGGAAAGGCCCUGCUUUUGUGGGGUGCUCGAGUGGCGAACGGGUGAGUAACACGUGAGUAACCUGCCCUUGACUUUGGGAUAACUUCAGGAAACUGGGGCUAAUACCGGAUAGGAGCUCCUGCUGCAUGGUGGGGGUUGGAAAGUUUCGGCGGUUGGGGAUGGACUCGCGGCUUAUCAGCUUGUUGGUGGGGGAGUGGCUUACCAAGGAUUUGACGGGUAGCCGGCCUGAGAGGGUGACCGGCCACAUUGGGACUGAGAUACGGCCCAGAGUGCUACGGGAGGCAGCAGUGGGGAAUAUUGCACAAUGGGCGGAAGCCUGAUGCAGCAACGCCGCGUGCGGGAUGACGGCCUUCGGGUUGUAAACCGCUUUCGCCUGUGACGAAGCGUGAGUGACGGUAAUGGGUAAAGAAGCACCGGCUAACUACGUG